This 276-nucleotide ribosomal RNA is filed under the name uncultured prokaryote. RNAcentral's name for it is "partial 16S ribosomal RNA". It matches the Rfam family "Bacterial small subunit ribosomal RNA", at positions 524 to 798 of the family's 1533-position model. The record is from RNAcentral.
UACGUAGGUGGCGAGCGUUGUCCGGAUUUACUGGGCGUAAAGGGAGCGUAGGCGGACUUUUAAGUGAGAUGUGAAAUACCCGGGCUCAACUUGGGUGCUGCAUUUCAAACUGGAAGUCUAGAGUGCAGGAGAGGAGAAUGGAAUUCCUAGUGUAGCGGUGAAAUGCGUAGAGAUUAGGAAGAACACCAGUGGCGAAGGCGGCUCUCUGGACUGUAACUGACGCUGAGGCACGAAAGCGUGGGGAGCAAACAGGAUUAGAUACCCGGGUAGGUCCCU